This is a non-coding RNA of Pelodiscus sinensis (Chinese soft-shelled turtle), 712 nucleotides long. NCBI's taxonomy places the organism in Eukaryota, Metazoa, Chordata, Testudines, Trionychidae. The record is from RefSeq and is a predicted model, not a curated record.
CCCGGCUCGGGACUAGCUCGGCCAUUUUUGCUGCUGCCAGGUCGCGGUGUGGUGUUGUGGUUUAAAGCCCCGGAGUGCUCACCAGGCAUGGGUCUUAUGCACAUCACUGGUUCUGUCGCCUCUUCCCACGUUACCCAUGCCCCCAGAUGGGAGUCUGGCCUUGUAUACAGGUGAAUUCCUCCUGGGGUGAAUCCCUGUCUCAGGUGAGAUGCCACCAUAUGAGAAGGGUGCCAGGAGUGAGUCUUGGCCAGCUCCUGAUCCAGCUGCCCAGGUUAAAGAUCCUGGAGUGGAUGUCUCCACUGUGCUUGAAUCAUGGGUAGCCAGAGUCCUGGGUUCUGAAAUGCCUGGAAUGGAGCCUUGGCAUUUCUGCUAGGGGGAUAAGCGAUCAGCUGCUGGCGUUGCAGGCCUGCAUGGAAGCAUGGGUCAUCUGAGCACAGCUGGCAUGAGAUUGGUCACUUGCCACCCCAGUCUGAUGUUGAUUGGUACUUUCUGAAGCAUGACCCUGUGUCUCCUCAUCUGGCCUGGACCGAGGGUACUACUCAGACCUCCUUUGCUCCUGAAGGGUGGAGUGUGGACCAGAUGCAGUUUUACUGUGAUGCCUACCUCUUGAGCACUCUGCUGAGUUUUGACAAACUGCAGCAUCUCUGAGGGCAGGGGCAAUCAGCCUCAUAGAAUGUGUAUUGACUAUUAAAUAAAAUAUCUCUGCAGGGAG